UUGACAAUCUGAAUUUUGACAUACCUACUACAUUGGAUCUCGAUCUCAUUAAAAUUUUCUUUUUUUACGUUUGCUCAGAUUUUUACGUUAUUUUAUAUCUUUUAUACCAUGUUGUGCAUUAACCAUUAGUUACCAAGGCGUUUUUUUAUAAGUGGUUAAAAUUUAUUUCUUUAUUUACAAAGUACAAACCAUGUUCUAAAGAAACUUGUUUCCAGUGUCAUUUGCUGACUGAAAAGGUGAAAGUGAUAUUAGAUAGGUAUGGCUUGUGCAGAAGUGCAUCCUGAUAAUAUGGAAUCUGAAAGGGAAGAAGGUGAAAUUGUAGACGAGCUUGAUGAUCUAUCAGAUAUUUCGUCAGAGGAAGAGUUUUUACUACGACAAAGGUUAGAAAUUCUGGAGAACUACAACAAUGUCCUUGAAAGAAAGGAGGCUAAAAGGACAUCCCUGGGCACAGGUAAGCCAAAUAAAACAAAACCAUCAUUUUGGCAAGACUUUACAAAAGUAAUAGAUGAUAAAAAUGAUUCUAAAACACAAGAAGUGUAUAGAGUUACUCGAACUGAAAAAUAUCUAAAAAAAACUAAAAAGCUAAAAGAACAACCAAAAGACAGUGUGCCCAUAAAAAAUAACAGAAAGAAAUAUACCCGCAAUAAAAAAGUUCAUCCAAUGAAAGUGGUAAGUGAAACCAGUGAAGAUUCAGAAGAUGAUGAAUACAAGAAUAAACGGCGAAAAUUAGCUGAUGCUGUCACUCUUAACAAAAAUAAAGUAGACACAAGUUCAUUAAAAGAUAGACUUGCCAAAAUGCUAAAUUCCAAACCGACAAAAACUACAGAUUCUUUUAUUAUUCAAAAUUCUAUAAUACUCACGGGCCCAAGUACAAAACCGGUUCAUAAACCUAGUUUGAAAGCGAACUCAAAAAUUAUGUCAUUGAAUAAUGAUUCAACAGAGAAUACACAUCCACUUGUAUUGAGUGACAUGAUGGAUACAGAUGAUGAUGUAAAGAUUAUUGAAACUGUUGGUGAAGAUUCACAUGAUACUGUGGAUGCUGGAAAUGUAGAGAAGAAGAAAGAUGUGCAGCUUAAUGAUAGUGGGGCAAGUACUGAUGAAGAUAUAGAGUCACUGAGGCAGCUCGCUUUAAAAACCAAAUCUUCCAAACUGAAGAUAGCUCUUCCUGAUGUACAAAACAUUGUUGCAAAUAAACCCGAGUCAGAAGACGAAGACAGUGAUACUGCUGAGUUGAGGAUGAUAUGUUUAAGGUCAGCUUUGUUAAAAAAAGCAAUAGAGAUGAAAAAGAAACAGAAAUUGCAGAAACGGUUAUCCCAAAAUUCAAUUAUGGAAGACAGUUUAUAUGAAAAUUGCAAUAAUGAUAGGAAUGAAAAUGAGAAUAAUACAGAUAUUGAGAAUGUUGAUAUGGAGAUUGGUUCAGAUGGAGAUGAGAAAAGCAAAGAUGGCUGUGAUAAUAAUAUUUUUCAUGAGUAUGAUGUUAAGAACUUAAAACAAAGUACAGGUUCAGUUAUAUUAACCAAAGAGGAUGAAUUGGAAGAAGAUGAAGAUUUGUUACGAGCAAAGUUAUUGACCUCUUUAAGUAAAAAUCUUCCUAAUCUAGUUGAUAUUAAUACAUUCACUAAUAGUGAAGUUGAAGUUGCAAGAGAAGUAACUAUUAAGCCAAAAACAGAAGUAGUGAAUAAAAUAAACAUACCAGAGGAUAAGAAAUUUAUCAUUGAGCUCGGUGAUUCAGACUCCGAAGGUGAACACGAAGCUACGAAAAAUUUGACUAAAAUGCACAUGAAAUUGGCAGAACAAACAGAAUUUCAACAGAAACUUGAUCAGUUUUUGAAAUCUACUAGAUUGGAAGUUGAGAAGAAUGCCUUGCCAGAUGUUGUUCUACCUCAAGCUCCGACAAAACCACCACAGAAAUUUGUUCCAAAGGCAAUGAACCAUUUACCGAAGUCGGAACAAAUUGAAUACAGAAACUUAGUGAAAAGAAUGGCAGAAUUGGAAAAAUUAAAACAGGCGAGACAGCUCUCUUUGAACAAUUUUAAUAAGCCUAGUAGCAAAGAAACACUAAAACCCAGAAAUAAUUCUGUUAAUAACAUGGAGAUGUCUGCAAAGAAAUUAGAAGAAAAGAUUGCUACAUCAAGAAAAAUGAUAGCCGAGGAAUCAGCUAAAAUGCUUAAACUAAAAGAGGAAGCAACAAAGUUAUCUCAAAGGUAUAAGAUAGUAUCAAAUGAACUGAGAAAUAUUACGACGGCAAUCACGCUCAAUAAGAAGCAACAAAGAAAUGUACAGAAUGGAUUAUCGAAAAUAAGACUGCAUCAUCAAAUGCUUUUGAAGAGCUCAACCACACUCAAACAUUCCAUACCCCAUCCGCCUUCCAAUACCGCUAAUAAAGUAAUUAAUAGUACUAAAAAACAAAAAGAAAACGAUCCAUUAGUUAAGGAACAUAAAAACCCCACUAUACUGAAAUCAGUAAAAGUCAGUGUAAUAAAUGAUUUAAAUAAGGAUACGCCUACAAAUAAUCCUCGAUUGUCGGUUGAGAUUGACGUCAGUAGCAAUACGAAAGUGGUAAAAGCAAAUACGCCGACCAAAGAGAGAACUGUAGAUUUCCAAAAGACUGAAGACCAUAUCGGUGAAUUUAGUAAUCCAGCUACGAAAAGUGGGGGGAAAAUAGAUGAGGAAAGAAAUAAAAAUGAAUGUCAAGUUAAAGACUACACGUCUCCACUGGAUGCUCUGGGAAGAACAGAUUGGAAAGAAGACCCGAACGCUUUCCUGUGCCCCUUCGAAGUUGGCGGCACGUGCAGGGACACUGACUGCAAAUUCCUACACUUAAAGUCACACACUCAAUGACAUUAUACGAAAACACACAGACACACGCUACGCCACAGAAACAAACACAAAAGACACACACACUCUCCCUUUUCCCUGUAAAUUGUGCCAACUUCAACCGUCGACGGAUCCUGCGUUCGAGUUUGGCGAGGCAUGCGCGGGUUCGCCCUUCUCCGGCUGUGGUAAGUUUUAAAUAGUGGUUUUGUAGUGAUUAAGACUCUUGACUGGCAUCCGCCAUCCGUACAGUGUUUCGACGCGCACCGAAUGGUAAACUGUUGUGAUUGUGUUAUUUAAUUUAUAAUUAUACAAAAUAUUAUACAUAAAAAUGUACAUAAUGUAAAAAGUUUUAACAAUA
This 3175-nucleotide unclassified non-coding RNA is filed under the name Zerene cesonia (dogface butterfly). RNAcentral describes it as "dNA repair protein RAD50-like, transcript variant X1". Lineage: Eukaryota; Metazoa; Arthropoda; Insecta; Lepidoptera; Pieridae. The record is from RNAcentral.